GCUGAUGACCUCCCAUCUUUGGAAACGGAAGUAAAGCAAAUCAUCACAAAUGAUGAGUAAACCUUGAAAAAAGUCUCAUCUCCCCCACUUUAAAAAAAACAGUGGCUCAGAAACUUUCACCUCAGAUAUAAGAUCAUGGUCUGCAGGUCUAUGAGGGCCAAAUACCAGAUAUUGGAAGAGCACA
This is a non-coding RNA of Vicugna pacos (alpaca), 184 nucleotides long. Lineage: Eukaryota; Metazoa; Chordata; Mammalia; Artiodactyla; Camelidae. The record is from RefSeq and is a predicted model, not a curated record.